GCUCCCAUUGUUUAGCGGCGGACGGGUGAGUAACACGUGGGCAACCUGCCCUGCAGAUCGGGAUAACUCCGGGAAACCGGUGCUAAUACCGAAUAGUUUGCGGCCUCUCCUGAGGCUGCACGGAAAGACGGUUUCGGCUGUCACUGCAGGAUGGGCCCGCGGCGCAUUAGCUAGUUGGUGGGGUAAUGGCCUACCAAGGCGACGAUGCGUAGCCGACCUGAGAGGGUGAUCGGCCACACUGGGACUGAGACACGGCCCAGACUCCUACGGGAGGCAGCAGUAGGGAAUCUUCCGCAAUGGACGAAAGUCUGACGGAGCAACGCCGCGUGAGUGACGAAGGUUUUCGGAUCGUAAAACUCUGUUGUGAGGGAAGAACAAGUACCAAGUAACUACUGGUACCUUGACGGUACCUCACCAGAAAGCCACGGCUAACUACGUGCCAGCAGCCGCGGUAAUACGUAGGUGGCAAGCGUUGUCCGGAAUUAUUGGGCGUAAAGCGCGCGCAGGCGGUUCUUUAAGUCUGAUGUGAAAGCCCACGGCUCAACCGUGGAGGGUCAUUGGAAACUGGAGAACUUGAGUGCAGAAGAGGAAAGUGGAAU
RNAcentral lists this ribosomal RNA (599 nucleotides) under Planococcus kocurii. RNAcentral's name for it is "bacterial SSU rRNA". It matches the Rfam family "Bacterial small subunit ribosomal RNA", at positions 81 to 667 of the family's 1533-position model. Lineage: Bacteria; Bacillati; Bacillota; Bacilli; Caryophanales; Caryophanaceae. The record is from RNAcentral.